UAGGCAUUGGGAAGGCUAAG
Molecule: unclassified non-coding RNA, 20 nt
Filed under: Mus musculus (house mouse)
Lineage: Eukaryota; Metazoa; Chordata; Mammalia; Rodentia; Muridae
Description: oocyte_clustered_small_RNA3810
Source: RNAcentral